AAUGAUGGUUGUCAUUAUUGUUGGCUAUUUAUUAUUAGGCUAAAAUAGGUCUAAUUUCUUAUUAUAUGACAAUCGGCUCAGAAAACUAAUAAAUUAAAUUUGAUAAGCCUAAUAAGUUGAAUGAGACUAACGGACCACAAGAAAUCAAACAGCAAGAGGCCUAACAAUAAAUUUAACGUUCAGGCGGAUAGAGUCAGGUCGAAAGCCAUGAGCGCUGUAGUUGAGCCCUUAAGUAAGAUGGGUGCGCCCUUCUUAUCAGCAUAUAUUUUUAGAAUAGUUUGUUAGCGCUAAUGAUCUACAAUUAUCAAUACCUAAACCAAAAUCAUUUUUCUAAAGGUGACCUCCAGAUUGUUUUAGCGAGUAAUUACUUGAUGAUGUUAUUUUCUAAAUAAGAUCAUAGUAGGUGUUUGUUGGCUUAAAUAAAUCAACAACCUGCUCUGUGACGGGAGGCUAAGUUGGGUCGACUUUGUACACUUUAAGAGGCUAUUUGGUUGCAUGCAUUUCUAAUUGCAUUGCUAUUGAGAAUACAUGCAUCUAUUAAAAUUUUAUUUGAUUUGGUAUAAUUAGGCCCAACUGCUACAGUUGCAUCUGCACGAGAAGACCCAACUGCAGCAGUUAGGCCGGAGUCGGCUCACUCAUUAAAAAAAUAAAUAAAGUGUGAUUUUUUUUUCAUACGCUUCUUUUUUUUUUUUUUCAAAAAUACCUAUUCAGGAAAUCUUAUAGGGUUUAAUAAUGUUUGUUAGAAUCAAUAAAUUUUUUUCAUACGCUUCUUUUUUUCAGUCUGCUAGUUUAAUAAUAUCUUAAUUUUUGUUUUUACCAAAUCUAUAAUAUAUUGCGUUUAAAUGUUAUUAAAUUCAUACAUAAUUUUAUAAUAUAUAAAUUAUAUAUAGAUAUAAAAAUCUUAAUUAAUAAUUANUUAUUAGGCUAAAAUAGGUCUAAUUUGUUAUUAUAUGACAAUCGGCUCAGAAAACUAAUAAAUUAAAUUUGAUAAGCCUAAUAAGUUGAAUGAGACUAACGGACCACAAGAAAUCAAACAGCAAGAGGCCUAACAAUAAAUUUAACGUUCAGGCGGAUAAAGUCAGGUCGAAAGCCAUGAGCGUCGUAGUUGAGCCCUUAAGUACGAUGGGUGCGCCCUUCUUAUCAGCAUAUAUUUUAGAAUAGUUUGUUAGCGCUAAUGAUCUAAAAUUCUCAAUAUCGAAAUCAAAAUAAAUUUUCUAAAGGUGACCUCCAGAUUGUUUUAGCGAGUAAUUACUUGAUGAUGUUAUUUUCUAAAUAAGAUCAUAGUAGGUGUUUGUUGGCUUAAAUAAAUCAACAUCCUGCUCUGUAACGGGAGGCUGAGUUGGGUCGACUCUGUACGCUUUAAGAGGCUAUUUGAUUGCAUG
This 1382-nucleotide long non-coding RNA is filed under the name Ananas comosus (pineapple). RNAcentral describes it as "long non-coding RNA (ACOM_LNC024801)". The record is from RNAcentral. Lineage: Eukaryota; Viridiplantae; Streptophyta; Magnoliopsida; Poales; Bromeliaceae.